UCGAGAAUCUUCGGCAAUGGGCGAAAGCCUGACCGAGCGACGCCGCGUGGAGGACGAAGGCCUUCGGGUUGUAAACUCCUGUCGGGGGGGAACAAGGGAGCGCGAAGAGCGAUCCUUGAGUGAUCCCCGGAGGAAGCACGGGCUAAGUUCGUGCCAGCAGCCGCGGUAAGACGAACCGUGCGAACGUUAUUCGGAAUCACUGGGCUUAAAGCGCGUGUAGGCGGACCGGCACGUCUGGUGCUGAAAUCCCCCGGCUCAACCGGGGAAGUGGCACGGAUACGACCGGUCUGGAGGGGGGUAGGGGGCGCCGGAACUUCCGGUGGAGCGGUGAAAUGCGUUGAGAUCGGAAGGAACGCCCGUGGCGAAAGCGGGCGCCUGGACCCCACCUGACGCUGAGACGCGAAAGCCAGGGGAGCGAACGGGAUUAGAUACCCCCGUAGUCC
Molecule: ribosomal RNA, 443 nt
Filed under: uncultured bacterium
Lineage: Bacteria
Description: bacterial SSU rRNA
Rfam family: Bacterial small subunit ribosomal RNA
Source: RNAcentral